This is a long non-coding RNA of Thamnophis sirtalis, 481 nucleotides long. RefSeq lists it as uncharacterized. NCBI's taxonomy places the organism in Eukaryota, Metazoa, Chordata, Lepidosauria, Squamata, Natricidae. The record is from RefSeq and is a predicted model, not a curated record.
CACUUCUGACACUUCCAAUAUCAGGAGGCCACCUGCUGCUUGGAAGGAGCUUCGGGAGUUUUGUUGUCAGUGACUAAGGCUGGAGAGCCACACCAAGGAUCAGAUUUUGGGAGUUGUUGAUCUUGCAGCAGCUCCUGACCACCUUGUCUCAAAAGAUCCAGAGCCAAGUAUAGGAACGUGUCCCUGAAACCUGCAGCCAAGCAUGACUGUAGCCGAAACUUUUCUAGCAAGGCAUCAAGCAAGGAAAGAGAGAGGCAGCUGCUGCAGAUGCCAGGACCAUGGAAGCACAUGGAUGCUGUGAAUACUCCAGAGGCACAGUUGUUUCUAUCAAAUACUAGACUGAUGUUCCCCUUCAGCAAGACCAAGCAGGGAGGUAGUGAGGGAUACUCUGCUCAGUGGGCUUUUCCGACACAGAAACUACACGGGACUCUUCAGUAGAAGAAGGGGGCUCUGUUGAAUUUGGUAGGCAAGAUCCUUUUGU